Non-coding RNA from Streptococcus sinensis, 98 nucleotides. The record is from Rfam. Lineage: Bacteria; Bacillati; Bacillota; Bacilli; Lactobacillales; Streptococcaceae.
AUCAAAUGAAGACCUCCUAACUUUAUUUGAUGAAAUCCUAAAACUUUUCUUUUUCAUAAUAAUCUCCCUAUAAGAACCGCCCAAUCGGCGGUUUUUUU